Molecule: unclassified non-coding RNA, 276 nt
Filed under: uncultured fungus
Lineage: Eukaryota; Fungi
Description: sequence contains ITS1
Source: RNAcentral
GAAUCAGGCAACACCAGUACGAGCUCGAUCGCCUGUAUGCGCGGUUUCGCGAGCUGGACGAACAGAAGAGGCCGCUAUUCCAACAGUUGGCCGUGCUUGCGCAGCAGCGGACCGAGGCGCAGGCUGCGGCACCGGCGAAGCCCGAACAGUCGAAGCCAACGACCGCGCGCUAGUAGCGCUCUUCCUUAAAGGCGGAUUCCCGCUUCUCGCGCGACUUUCUUCCAGUGCGCGAUGUCGCUCCUGAUCAUCGCGGCGAAUUCGGCUGGGGCUAAAAAC